RNAcentral lists this ribosomal RNA (459 nucleotides) under uncultured bacterium. RNAcentral describes it as "partial 16S ribosomal RNA". It matches the Rfam family "Bacterial small subunit ribosomal RNA", at positions 338 to 795 of the family's 1533-position model. The record is from RNAcentral.
CCUACGGGGGGCUGCAGUGAGGAAUAUUGGUCAAUGGCCGCAGGGCUGAACCAGCCAAGUCGCGUGAGGGAUGACGGUCCUAUGGAUUGUAAACCUCUUUUGUCAGGGAGCAAAGGGCGCCACGUGUGGCGCUUUGCGAGUACCUGAAGAAAAAGCAUCGGCUAACUCCGUGCCAGCAGCCGCGGUAAUACGGAGGAUGCGAGCGUUAUCCGGAUUUAUUGGGUUUAAAGGGUGCGCAGGCGGAAUGUCAAGUCAGCGGUAAAAUUUCGGGGCUCAACCCCGUCGUGCCGUUGAAACUGGCGUUCUUGAGUGAGCGAGAAGUAUGCGGAAUGCGUGGUGUAGCGGUGAAAUGCAUAGAUAUCACGCAGAACUCCGAUUGCGAAGGCAGCAUACCGGCGCCCAACUGACGCUCAUGCACGAAAGCGUGGGUAUCGAACAGGAUUAGAUACCCUAGUAGUC